AACCUUUACUUCAUUCACAGGUAAAGCCAGCCGAGGUGUAACUGCUGAUUGUAAUGUCCUCUGCUGUAGAAUGGUAGGACACGGGUGGUGGUGGUGGCUGUGACUCCAAGACAGUUCUAAACUUGAUGGUAAAGCCAGCUGAGGUGUAACUGCUGAUUGUAAUUUCAUCUGCUGUAGAAUGGUAGGACACAGGUGGUGGUGGUGGCUGCGACUCCAAGACAGUUCCAAGCUUGAUGGCAAGGAAAGCUAGUUUGUGGAUGAACUGAACAAAUUGUUUGGAGUUUCUGAUGACAUUUGUGGUGAAGUUUGAAGGAUUCUGGAAGAUGGCAGCAAUGCCAGAGGACAUUUCCAUGAUGAAGUGGACAUCAGCUAGAACUUGAUCAUCAUUCUUGCUCAAAUUCAGGAGACUGAUGCAAAUUCAUGGAAUGCAGAGUAAAUUGGCAGUAAUGGCAAGGGAUGACGACAUCAACCAUCAAUUCAAAAGAGCAUCUUGAAAGUGGUUGGCAAGCAGUGGCAGCAGGG
Lytechinus variegatus (green sea urchin) is the source of this 522-nucleotide long non-coding RNA. RefSeq lists it as uncharacterized. Lineage: Eukaryota; Metazoa; Echinodermata; Echinoidea; Temnopleuroida; Toxopneustidae. The record is from RefSeq and is a predicted model, not a curated record. The transcript has 4 exons.